AAAAGAUCCUGAAAUUAUCAAGAACGCUUUAGAAGAAUUGAAAAAGUUGGUGGAAGAUAAAUGCCCCGAAGCGAAUGCAGCAAUUAACAAGUUAUCUGGUGGUUCAGACGAG
This is a long non-coding RNA of Bufo bufo (common toad), 112 nucleotides long. RefSeq lists it as uncharacterized. NCBI's taxonomy places the organism in Eukaryota, Metazoa, Chordata, Amphibia, Anura, Bufonidae. The record is from RefSeq and is a predicted model, not a curated record. The transcript has 3 exons.